This 508-nucleotide ribosomal RNA is filed under the name uncultured bacterium. Its description in RNAcentral is "bacterial SSU rRNA". It matches the Rfam family "Bacterial small subunit ribosomal RNA", at positions 8 to 518 of the family's 1533-position model. The record is from RNAcentral.
AGGGUUCGAUUCUGGCUCAGGAUGAACGCUGGCGGCGUGCUUAACACAUGCAAGUCGAACGGAGUUUAGAUGAAAGCUUGCUUUGACUAAACUUAGUGGCGGACGGGUGAGUAACGCGUGGGCAACCUGCCUUAUACCGGGGGGACAACAGCUGGAAACGGCUGCUAAUACCGCAUAAGCGCACGGUCAGGCAUCUGACAGUGUAGAAAAACUCCGGUGGUAUAAGAUGGACCCGCGUCUGAUUAGCCAGUUGGCGGUGUAACGGACCACCAAAGCGACGAUCAGUAGCCGGCCUGAGGAGGGACAAACGGCCACAGUUGGGACUGAGACACGGCCCAAACUCCGUACGGGAGGCAGCAGGUGGGGAAUAUUGCACAAUGGGGGAAACCCUGAUGCCAGCGACGCCGCGUGAGUGAAGAAGUAUUUCGGUAUGUAAAGCUCUAUCAGCAGGAAAGAAAAUGACGGUACCUGACUAAGAAGCCCCGGCUAACUACGUGCCAGCCGCCGC